AGGAGACAGGAGGGAUGUUCAGUGGGAUAUUCAAAAAGCCAAAGCCUCUCGGAGCAAGGACAAAAUCUCAGGAUGAUUUGUCUGCAGCCAGCGAGCUCUCAGGCAGCAAUGACAAUCUGUCUGAAAACACUAAGGACAAAGGAGGAAUCUUUAGUGGUGUGUUCAAGAAAAAAAU
Plectropomus leopardus (leopard coralgrouper) is the source of this 175-nucleotide non-coding RNA. The record is from RefSeq and is a predicted model, not a curated record. NCBI's taxonomy places the organism in Eukaryota, Metazoa, Chordata, Actinopteri, Perciformes, Serranidae.